UCUCACCUUUUGUGCUUAAGUGUAAGAUGCAUGACUACAUUGAUUGUGUACAUCUGAUGAGUUAAGUAUGGUAUGAUGAUGAUGCAUAUGAUAAGUAUGUGAAGAAUGGUUAUAUGAACACCAUAAGGGUGUUGUGUGAUAUGUAAUUGAUGAAUUCUGUGAUAUGUGAAAGAUGUCUUACUUGGUUAAGAAUGAUAUGAAUUAUGUGCAAGUAUGUGUUCUUAUGUUGAUGGAUAUGUGGAUUACUCUAUGUUCAUGAUUUGUUAUAUGUUAUGAUAUAUGAAGCGUUUAAGUUUUUAGGCUGGAAACCUUAGACCUGAGCCAUAGCUCUACGUUAAGGUAUAACAACGCCACCAACCCAAAGCUUCAUGUAUUAUGACUAAAGAUGUUUUGAGUUAUAUGAGAUGUGAUACAAUGCCUUGAUUGAAUACCAUCAACAUGAAUCAUGAACAUGAACAUUGGCAUUUCAGCAUCAGCAUGUAUGCAUGGCAUGUACAGUUAUGUGAUACAUUAUUAUGUGAUAUAAGACCAUGCAUAUGAAUAUGAAAAAAGUUAUGAAAUGCCUUGAAAAGUUUUAUGUAAAGUUAAACAUUUUAAUGACACAAGGCUUAAGCAAAGUGAUAAUAAGAUGUUAAAAAGGGUGCCACUGUUUCGAUGAAGCAAUCAAGUAAGUUCAGUAAAGAAGACGGAAGUCUAUAAGACUUAUAGUGGCUGCCCACUAGUGUGGGCUAGGUCAGAGUUGACCAUUCAGAUAUGUUUGCCAUGUUUCCGUCUUUCUCCUCCAUAUGUGUAAUAAGUAUGGCAGCUAUGGCAACGAUGAAAUGAGUGUUAUGAUGAGCCUAGCUGAGAUGAUGGCUAGCCGGAGGAGAACCCAUGGGAUUCUAUAUGAUAUGUGUAACAAGCCCUGCAGGCAUUGGCUGAAUCAAACAGUGUGCACAAGUGAUAUUGGGCCCAUAAAAAUGUGAAACUAAAAGAAAGAGCAUAAAAGUAAAGUUUGAAAGUGCAUGAGCAAUAAAUGAAAUUCAUAAGUAUAUAAGUCAGCAUAUUAGUAUAUGUGCACUACAAACUCACGACAUUCAUGUGUAAGUAAAUCUCACCUUUUGUGCUUAAGUGUAAGAUGCAUGACUACAUUGAUUGUGUACAUCUGAUGAGUUAAGUAUGGUAUGAUGAUGAUGCAUAUGAUAAGUAUGUGAAGAAUGGUUAUAUGAACACCAUAAGGGUGUUGUGUGAUAUGUAAUUGAUGAAUUCUGUGAUAUGUGAAAGAUGUCUUACUUGGUUAAGAAUGAUAUGAAUUAUGUGCAAGUAUGUGUUCUUAUGUUGAUGGAUAUGUGGAUUACUCUAUGUUCAUGAUUUGUUAUAUGUUAUGAUAUAUGAAGCGUUUAAGUUUUUAGGCUGGAAACCUUAGACCUGAGCCAUAGCUCUACGUUAAGGUAUAACAACGCCACCAACCCAAAGCUUCAUGUAUUAUGACUAAAGAUGUUUUGAGUUAUAUGAGAUGUGAUACAAUGCCUUGAUUGAAUACCAUCAACAUGAAUCAUGAACAUGAACAUUGGCAUUUCAGCAUCAGCAUGUAUGCAUGGCAUGUACAGUUAUGUGAUACAUUAUUAUGUGAUAUAAGACCAUGCAUAUGAAUAUGAAAAAAGUUAUGAAAUGCCUUGAAAAGUUUUAUGUAAAGUUAAACAUUUUAAUGACACAAGGCUUAAGCAAAGUGAUAAUAAGAUGUUAAAAAGGGUGCCACUGUUUCGAUGAAGCAAUCAAGUAAGUUCAGUAAAGAAGACGGAAGUCUAUAAGACUUAUAGUGGCUGCCCACUAGUGUGGGCUAGGUCAGAGUUGACCAUUCAGAUAUGUUUGCCAUGUUUCCGUCUUUCUCCUCCAUAUGUGUAAUAAGUAUGGCAGCUAUGGCAACGAUGAAAUGAGUGUUAUGAUGAGCCUAGCUGAGAUGAUGGCUAGCCGGAGGAGAACCCAUGGGAUUCUAUAUGAUAUGUGUAACAAGCCCUGCAGGCAUUGGCUGAAUCAAACAGUGUGCACAAGUGAUAUUGGGCCCAUAAAAAUGUGAAACUAAAAGAAAGAGCAUAAAAGUAAAGUUUGAAAGUGCAUGAGCAAUAAAUGAAAUUCAUAAGUAUAUAAGUCAGCAUAUUAGUAUAUGUGCACUACAAACUCACGACAUUCAUGUGUAUGUGUAUGCA
Molecule: long non-coding RNA, 2186 nt
Organism: Humulus lupulus (European hop)
Lineage: Eukaryota; Viridiplantae; Streptophyta; Magnoliopsida; Rosales; Cannabaceae
Exons: 2
Source: RefSeq, a predicted model, not a curated record